Molecule: ribosomal RNA, 301 nt
Filed under: uncultured bacterium
Lineage: Bacteria
Description: partial 16S ribosomal RNA
Rfam family: Bacterial small subunit ribosomal RNA
Source: RNAcentral
CAGCAGCCGCGGUAAUACGGAGGAUCCGAGCGUUAUCCGGAAUUAUUGGGUUUAAAGGAUGCGUAGGCGGAUAGAUAAGUCAGUGGUGAAAGACGGUGGCUCAACCAUCGCAGUGCCGUUGAUACUGUUUAUCUUGAAUAUGGAUGAGGUAGGCGGAAUGUGGCAAGUAGCGGUGAAAUGCAUAGAUAUGCCACAGAACACCGAUUGCGAAGGCAGCUUACCAAGGCAAAAUUGACGCUGAGGCACGAAAGCGUGGGGAUCGAACAGGAUUAGAUACCCCUGUAGUCCCUGUCUCUUAUAC